RNAcentral lists this ribosomal RNA (406 nucleotides) under uncultured bacterium. RNAcentral describes it as "partial 16S ribosomal RNA". It matches the Rfam family "Bacterial small subunit ribosomal RNA", at positions 28 to 526 of the family's 1533-position model. The record is from RNAcentral.
GAUAAACGCUGGCGGCGUGCAUAACACAUGCAAGUCGAACGAAGUGGCGAACGGGUGAGUAACACGUGAGUAACCUGCCUUACACAAGGGGAUAGCCUUUGGAAACGAAGAAUAAUACCCUAUAGUGUAAGAUGGACUUGCGUCUGAUUAGCUAGUUUGUGAGAUAAACGCUCACCAAGGCGACGAUCAGUAGCCGGCUUGAGAGAGUGUACUGCCACAUGGGGAAUGAGACCCGGCCCAAACUCGCCGGGAGGCAGCAGUGGGGAAUCUUGCACCAGGGGGGAAACCCUGAUGCAGCGGAGCCGCGUGAUUUAGAAGGCCUGCGGGUUGUAAGAAUCUGUUUUACGGGAUGCGGUACCGUAAGAAUAAGGUCCGGCUAACUACGUGCCAGCAGCCGCGGUAAUUC